GACGAACGCUGGCGGCGUGCUUAACACAUGCAAGUCGAACGGAAAGGCUCUGCUUUUGUGGGGUACUCGAGUGGCGAACGGGUGAGUAACACGUGAGUAACCUGCCCUUGACUUUGGGAUAACUUUAGGAAACUGGGGCUAAUACCGGAUAGGAGGUCCUGCUGCAUGGUGUUGGUUGGAAAGUUUCGGCGUUUGGGGAUGAGGUCGCGGCUUAUCUGCUUGUUGGUGGGGUAGUGGCCUACCACGGCUUCGACGGGUCGCCGGCCUGAGAGGGUGUCCGGCCACAUUGGGACUGAGAUACGGCACAGACUCCUACGGGAGGCAGCAGUGGGGAAUAUUGCACAAUGGGCGCAAGCCUGAUGCAGCGACGCCGGGUGGGGGAUGACGGCCUUCGGGUUGUAACCUCCUUUCGCUAGGGACGAGGCGAAAGUGACGGUAAGGGGAGAAGAAGCACCGGCUAACUACGUG
This 468-nucleotide ribosomal RNA is filed under the name uncultured bacterium. RNAcentral describes it as "partial 16S ribosomal RNA". It matches the Rfam family "Bacterial small subunit ribosomal RNA", at positions 28 to 507 of the family's 1533-position model. The record is from RNAcentral.